Molecule: ribosomal RNA, 1115 nt
Filed under: uncultured Gammaproteobacteria bacterium
Lineage: Bacteria; Pseudomonadati; Pseudomonadota; Gammaproteobacteria
Description: bacterial SSU rRNA
Rfam family: Bacterial small subunit ribosomal RNA
Source: RNAcentral
UGCAAGUCGAACGGCAGCAGACCGUGACAAUCCCUUCGGGGUGCGUUUGGUGCUGGCGAGUGGCGGACGGGUGAGUAACACGUAGGAAUCUGCCAAACAGUGGGGGACAACCCGGAGAAAUCCGGGCUAAUACCGCAUACGCCCUACGGGGGAAAGCGGGGGACCUUCGGGCCUCGCGCUGUUUGAGGAGCCUGCGUCGGAUUAGCUUGUUGGUGAGGUAAAGGCUCACCAAGGCAACGAUCCGUAGCUGGUCUGAGAGGAUGAUCAGCCACACUGGGACUGAGACACGGCCCAGACUCCUACGGGAGGCAGCAGUGGGGAAUAUUGCACAAUGGGCGAAAGCCUGAUGCAGCCAUACCGCGUGGGUGAAGAAGGCCUUAGGGUUGUAAAGCCCUUUCAGCAGGGAAGAAAGGUACAGGGUUAAUAACCCCGUAAUUUGACGGUACCUGAAUAAGAAGCACCGGCUAACUCCGUGCCAGCAGCCGCGGUAAUACGGAGGGUGCAAGCGUUAAUCGGAAUUACUGGGCGUAAAGCGCGCGUAGGCGGUCUGGUCAGUCAGAUGUGAAAGCCCCGGGCUCAACCUGGGAACUGCAUUUGAUACUGCUGGACUAGAGUGUGGUAGAGGGAAGUGGAAUUCCGCGUGUAGCGGUGAAAUGCGUAGAUAUGCGGAGGAACAUCAGUGGCGAAGGCGACUCCCUGGCCAAAGACUGACGCUCAUGUGCGAAAGUGUGGGUAGCGAACAGGAUUAGAUACCCUGGUAGUCCACACCGUAAACGCUGUCUACUAGCUGUGUGUGUCUUUAAGACGUGCGUAGCGAAGCUAACGCGCUAAGUAGACCGCCUGGGAGUACGGCCGCAAGGUUAAAACUCAAAUGAAUUGACGGGGGCCCGCACAAGCGGUGGAGCAUGUGGUUUAAUUCGAUGCAACGCGAAGAACCUUACCUACACUUGACAUGCUGAGAAGUUACUAGAGAUAGUUUCGUGCUUUCGGGAACUCAGACACAGGUGCUGCAUGCCUGUCGUCAGCUCGUGUCGUGAGAAUGUGGUUAGUCCGCACGAGCGCACCCUUGUCCUUAGUUGCAGCCUUAGGUUGGGCACUCUAGAGAACUGCUGUGC